Molecule: long non-coding RNA, 554 nt
Filed under: Glycine max (soybean)
Lineage: Eukaryota; Viridiplantae; Streptophyta; Magnoliopsida; Fabales; Fabaceae
Description: long non-coding RNA (GMAX_LNC000053)
Source: RNAcentral
ACCACUUCAGACUCAUCAUCUGCAUCUGUUAAAAGCAAGGCAAGUGUAAAACGAAUAAUUGAGUUACCUUGUGGAUUUUGUCGGUACAUGCUUACGUUUUCUUCAUCUUCUACUAAUUUGUUCUGUCUAUGAACCACGAAAACUAUGAGCGUCAACUAUUUUCUUCGAUUUCUUCUCCUUUAACUGCCACACACCACAAUAAAACUGUUGUUUUUGCGGUGUUUGUUGUGUUCGUUGAUAUUAAAAUCGCAAUAUUCCACUCAUGCAUGCUGAUUAAAUGUAAGGCACUCCUGUUAGGAUCCCUUUCAUCAAAUUCACAUAGCAUUCUGUUUUUUAUAAUUUUUGGCUGACCCAGAUUGAACGACUCAUAUAGGUUAUAUGUAAAUUAACAAAACUUUAUUUGAAUAUACACCAAAUAUGACUUUCAUUUACCUGCACUUUUCUGUUCUUAUUCUUCAGUCUUAAUUCCACUAGAAUGCCAUUAUCGCAGUACCGUGUGUCCAUCAAAAUCUAAAUUUCUUAACCGAACAAGUAUUUGCUUUUACUCAUUACAG